Molecule: unclassified non-coding RNA, 338 nt
Filed under: soil metagenome
Description: partial contains 5.8S ribosomal RNA, internal transcribed spacer 2, and large subunit ribosomal RNA
Rfam family: 5.8S ribosomal RNA (bases 1-120)
Source: RNAcentral
GAUGAAGAACGCAGCGAAAUGCGAUACGUUGUGUGAAUUGCAGAAUUCAGUGAAUCAUCGAAUCUUUGAACGCACAUUGCACCUCUCGGUAUUCCGGGAGGUAUGCCUGUUCGAGCGUCAUUUGUACCCUCAAGCUCUGCUUGGUGUUGGGUGUUUGUUCCGCCUCUGUGUGUGAACUCGCCUCAAAACAAUUGGCAGCCGGCGUACUUGUUUCGGAGCGCAGCACAUUUUGCGAUCCAGAUCAACGUACAGCGGCAUCCAAGAAGCCUUAUUUAACGCUCUUGACCUCGGAUCAGGUAGGGAUACCCGCUGAACUUAAGCAUAUCAAUAGCGGAGGA